CGGAGUGAACGCACCACUGGUGUUCGGGUUGUCAUGCCAAUGGCAUUGCCCGGUAGCUAAGUGCGGAAGAGAUAACCGCUGAAAGCAUCUAAGCGGGAAACUUGCCUCGAGAUGAGUCUUCCCUGUCGCUUUAAGCGACCUAAAGGAACGUUUAAGACUAAGACGUUGAUAGGCUGGGUGUGUAAGCGUAGCGAUACGUUGAGCUAACCAGUACUAAUGAACCGUGAGGCUUAACCUGACAACACCGAAAGUGUUUUG
Molecule: ribosomal RNA, 258 nt
Filed under: Proteus mirabilis
Lineage: Bacteria; Pseudomonadati; Pseudomonadota; Gammaproteobacteria; Enterobacterales; Morganellaceae
Description: partial 23S ribosomal RNA
Rfam family: Bacterial large subunit ribosomal RNA
Source: RNAcentral